UAGAUUGAAGCCCGCUGGCUAGGGUAUUUAGUUGUUAACUAGAAUUUUACGGAAUCGAGGUCCGUCGGUCUA
This 72-nucleotide transfer RNA is filed under the name Ancylodactylus africanus. Its description in RNAcentral is "tRNA-Asn". The record is from RNAcentral. Lineage: Eukaryota; Metazoa; Chordata; Lepidosauria; Squamata; Gekkonidae.